GUUUUAAUAGUUUAUAAAAAACUUUGGUCUUGUAAACCAAGAAUGAAUUAAUCUAUUCUUAAAACU
This 66-nucleotide transfer RNA is filed under the name Trapezia digitalis. RNAcentral describes it as "tRNA-Thr". Lineage: Eukaryota; Metazoa; Arthropoda; Malacostraca; Decapoda; Trapeziidae. The record is from RNAcentral.